GAACGGCGUGAGCCAGUUCGGUCCCUAUCCACUGCGCGCGCAGGAUAUUUGAGAGGAGUCGUUCCUAGUACGAGAGGACCGGAAUGAACUGACCUCUGGUGUACCAGUUGUUCCGCCAGGAGCAUAAGCUGGGUAGCUACGUCGGGAAGGGAUAAGCGCUGAAAGCAUCUAAGCGCCAAGCCCACCUCAAGAUUAGAUAUCCCAUGGCAUAAGCCAGUAAGACCCCCGGAAGAGAAUCGGGUCGAUAGGCCGCAAUUGUAAGCACGGUAACGUGUUCAGAUAAGCGGUACUAAUAGGUCGAGGGCUUAACUAAA
RNAcentral lists this ribosomal RNA (314 nucleotides) under Armatimonadota bacterium. Its description in RNAcentral is "Armatimonadetes bacterium (soil metagenome) partial 23S ribosomal RNA". It matches the Rfam family "Bacterial large subunit ribosomal RNA", at positions 2614 to 2925 of the family's 2925-position model. The record is from RNAcentral. Lineage: Bacteria; Bacillati; Armatimonadota.